CCCUUCGAUGUUCUGGGCCGCACGCGCGCUACAAUGGUCUUCGCAAACGGAUGCAUUCUCGAAGGAGAAUGCCAAUCUUGGAAUCUAUGCCUUGGUCGGGACAGUUGCUUGCAAUUUUUCGACUCGAACCAGGAAUUCCUUGUAAUCGUGAUUCAUCACAUCACGAUGAAUACGUCCCUGCCCUUUGUACACACCGCCCGUCGCUCCUACCGAUCGAAGAGUUAGGUGAAUUGUUUUGAUCGAUAAGAUUUGACUAUGGUCAACUCUCGUUGUGAAAUUCUGUGAAUCUGACUGUUUAGAGGAAGGAAAAGUCGUAACA
Molecule: ribosomal RNA, 319 nt
Filed under: uncultured eukaryote
Lineage: Eukaryota
Description: partial 18S ribosomal RNA
Rfam family: Eukaryotic small subunit ribosomal RNA
Source: RNAcentral